RNAcentral lists this ribosomal RNA (301 nucleotides) under uncultured bacterium. RNAcentral describes it as "partial 16S ribosomal RNA". It matches the Rfam family "Bacterial small subunit ribosomal RNA", at positions 509 to 807 of the family's 1533-position model. The record is from RNAcentral.
CAGUCGCCGCGGUAAAACGAAGGGGGCUAGCGUUGUUCGGAUUUACUGGGCGUAAAGGGUGCGUAGGCGGAUUGUUAAGUCAGGGGUGAAAUCCCGAGGCUCAACCUCGGAACUGCCUUUGAUACUGGCGAUCUUGAGUCCGGGAGAGGUGAGUGGAACUGCGAGUGUAGAGGUGAAAUUCGUAGAUAUUCGCAAGAACACCGGUGGCGAAGGCGGCUCACUGGCCCGGAACUGACGCUGAGGCACGAAAGCGUGGGGAGCAAACAGGAUUAGAUACCCGCGUAGUCCCUGUCUCUUAUAC